This 3203-nucleotide long non-coding RNA is filed under the name Sorghum bicolor (sorghum). RNAcentral's name for it is "long non-coding RNA (SBIC_LNC010504)". Lineage: Eukaryota; Viridiplantae; Streptophyta; Magnoliopsida; Poales; Poaceae. The record is from RNAcentral.
CCGAAAGGUUCUGGUAACUAUCGAUUUGGUGGAAACGAGACACAAAUCAAUCCAGCUUGCGAACAGCACGGUUUGAAACCCUGCAAUUCUUUUUAUUUUUUUUUGAUAUUUUUUUUACUUAGGAGCACUCAAGAAGUAACCAUAGGAAAUUUGAGCUUAAACAAUUGAAAGACGUGGCCUGUGGAAUUUUUUGAAGAUUGCGAAAAAUAUAAAAAAAACUUUAAGAGGUGAAAACUCAAACUUUAGGAGUGAAUUUGGGAUUCUAAAAUUAUCGAACCCACCUCUAGCGGAGAUAGACAGAUCCAUAAAUUUGUUCUGAUCGAUUUGGAUAUAUGGAACGUCAAAAUCGGAGUUCAUAUGCGAAAGAUAUGGCUGUUUUACGAACGGACUCCGAAUUAGAGGACAAAACGGUCCGGAAGUGGGAAAAAUUUGCGGUGGUGGCUAGAAAUUGAUGGAAACGGUGGAAAAAAACACACAAACUGGACUCUAACAAGACCAAAUCGGUAACAAGACCUCGACCACGACACAAACUCAACACUACGGACUCUGAAACUGAAAUAUGCAAAGGUUAUGGCGCGGAUGGGUUGUAGGACAUGAAAACAAUUUGGCACUAGACUUAUGGGACGAACACAAGGACACUCGAAACUAAGGGUACAUGUGAACCUAACUAUACGUCUGAAGCUUUGAUUACCACUUGAGGAGAACAAGGCCCGAUCUUCCGAAAGGUUCUGGUAACUAUCAAUUUGGUGGAAACGAGACACAAAUCAUUCCAGUUUGCGAACAACACGAUUCGAAAUCCUGCAAUUCUUUUUAUAUUUUUUGAUAUUUUUCUUUUACUUAGGAGCACUCAAGAAGUAACCACAGGAAAUUUGAGCUUAAACAAGUGAAGGACGUGACCUGUGGAAUUUUUUGAAGAUUGCGAAAAAUAUGAAAAUAAAGUUUAGGAGGUGAAAACUCAAAAUUUCAGAGGCGAGUUUGGGAAUUGUAAAUUUGUUGCACCGCCUAUGGCGGGGAUAGACAGAUCCAAAAAAUUUUUCUGAUCGAUUUUGAAAUAUGGAACGUCAAAAUCAGAGUUCGUAGGCGAAAGUUAUGGCUGUUUUACGAACGGACUCCGAAUUAGAGGAUAAAACGGUCCGGAAGUGGGAAAAAUUUGCGGUGGUGGCUAGAAAUUAAUGGAAAUGGUGGGAAAAACACACAAACUAGACUCUAACAAGACCUAACCAGUAACAAGAUCUCGACCAGGACACAAACUCAACACUACGGACUCUGAAAAUGAAAUAUGCAAAGGCUAUGGCGCGGAUGGGUUGUAGGACAUGAAAAGAAUAUGGCACCAGACUUAUGGGACGAACACAAGGACACUCAAAACUAAAGGUAGAUGUGAACCUAACGGUAUGUCUGAAGCUUUGAUUACCACUUGAGGAGAAUAAGUGUGUCCCGAUCUUCCGAAAGGUUCUGGUAACUAUCGAUUUGGUGGAAACGAGACACAAAUCAAUCCAGCUUGCGAACAGCACGGUUCGAAACCCUGCAAUUCUUUUUAUUUUUUUUUUGAUAUUUUUCUUUUACUUAGAAGCACUCAAGAAGUAACCAUAGGAAAUUUGAGCUUAAACAAUUGAAAGACGUGGCCUGUGGAAUUUUUUGAAGAUUGCGAAAAAUAUAAAAAAAACUUUAAGAGGUGAAAACUCAAACUUUAGGAGUGAAUUUGGGAUUCUAAAAUUAUCGAACCCACCUCUAGCGGAGAUAGACAGAUCCAUAAAUUUGUUCUGAUCGAUUUGGAUAUAUGGAAUGUCAAAAUCGGAGUUCAUAUGCGAAAGUUAUGGCUGUUUUACGAACGGACUCCGAAUUAGAGGACAAAACGGUCCGGAAGUGGGAAAAAUUUGCGGUGGUGGCUAGAAAUUGAUGGAAACGGUGGAAAAAAACACACAAACUGGACUCUAACAAGACCAAAUCGGUAACAAGACCUCGACCACGACACAAACUCAACACUACGGACUGUGAAACUGAAAUAUGCAAAGGUUAUGGCGCGGAUGGGUUGUAGGACAUGAAAACAAUUUGGCACUAGACUUAUGGGACGAACACAAGGACACUCGAAACUAAGGGUACAUGUGAACCUAACUAUACGUCUGAAGCUUUGAUUACCACUUGAGGAGAACAAGGCCCGAUCUUCCGAAAGGUUCUGGUAACUAUCAAUUUGGUGGAAACGAGACACAAAUCAUUCCAGUUUGCGAACAACAUGAUUCGAAACCCUGCAAUUCUUUUUAUAUUUUUUGAUAUUUUUCUUUUACUUAGGAGCACUCAAGAAGUAACCACAGGAAAUUUGAGCUUAAACAAGUGAAGGACGUGACCUGUGGAAUUUUUUGAAGAUUGCGAAAAAUAUGAAAAUAAAGUUUAGGAGGUGAAAACUCAAAAUUUCAGAGGCGAGUUUGGGAAUUGUAAAUUUGUUGCACCGCCUAUGGCGGGGAUAGACAGAUCCAAAAAAUUUUUCUGAUCGAUUUUGAAAUAUGGAACGUCAAAAUCAGAGUUCGUAGGCGAAAGUUAUGGCUGUUUUACGAACGGACUCCGAAUUAGAGGAUAAAACGGUCCGGAAGUGGGAAAAAUUUGCGGUGGUGGCUAGAAAUUAAUGGAAAUGGUGGGAAAAACACACAAACUAGACUCUAACAAGACCUAACCAGUAACAAGAUCUCGACCAGGACACAAACUCAACACUACGGACUCUGAAAAUGAAAUAUGCAAAGGCUAUGGCGCGGAUGGGUUGUAGGACAUGAAAAGAAUAUGGCACCAGACUUAUGGGACGAACACAAGGACACUCGAAACUAAAGGUAGAUGUGAACCUAACGGUAUGUCUGAAGCUUUGAUUAUCACUUGAGGAGAAUAAGUGUGUCCCGAUCUUCCGAAAGGUUCUGGUAACUAUCGAUUUGGUGGAAACGAGACACAAAUCAAUCCAGCUUGCGAACAGCACGGUUUGAAACCCUGCAAUUCUUUUUAUUUUUUUUUGAUAUUUUUUUUACUUAGGAGCACUCAAGAAGUAACCAUAGGAAAUUUGAGCUUAAACAAUUGAAAGACGUGGCCUGUGGAAUUUUUUGAAGAUUGCGAAAAAUAUAAAAAAAACUUUAAGAGGUGAAAACUCAAACUUUAGGAGUGAAUUUGGGAUUCUAAAAUUAUCGAACCCACCUCUAGCGGAGAUAGACAGAUCCAUAAAUUUGUUC